UUUGAUGAAGUUUUCGGAUGGAUUUAAAGCAGCUUAGUGGCGGACGGGUGAGUAACGCGUGGGUAACCUGCCUCACACUGGGGGAUAACAGUUAGAAAUAGCUGCUAAUACCGCAUAAGCGCACGGUUCCGCAUGGAACAGUGUGAAAAACUCCGGUGGUGUGAGAUGGACCCGCGUCUGAUUAGCUGGUUGGUGGGGUAACGGCCUACCAAGGCGACGAUCAGUAGCCGGCCUGAGAGGGUGAACGGCCACAUUGGUACUGAGACACGGACCAAACUCC
This 280-nucleotide ribosomal RNA is filed under the name uncultured Eubacteriales bacterium. RNAcentral describes it as "uncultured Clostridiales bacterium partial 16S ribosomal RNA". The stretch from base 42 to 280 matches the Rfam family "Bacterial small subunit ribosomal RNA", at positions 100 to 339 of the family's 1533-position model. The record is from RNAcentral. Lineage: Bacteria; Bacillati; Bacillota; Clostridia; Eubacteriales.